Molecule: ribosomal RNA, 482 nt
Filed under: uncultured bacterium
Lineage: Bacteria
Description: bacterial SSU rRNA
Rfam family: Bacterial small subunit ribosomal RNA
Source: RNAcentral
UUGGACGCUGGCGGCAUGCCUUACACAUGCAAGUCGAACGGCAGCACGGGAGCAAUCCUGGUGGCGAGUGGCGAACGGGGGAGUAAUGUAUCGGAACGUACCUUUCAGUGGGGGAUAACGUAGCGAAAGUUACGCUAAUACCGCAUAUUCUGUGAGCAGGAAAGCAGGGGAUCGCAAGACCUUGCGCUGAUUGAGCGGCCGAUAUCAGAUUAGCUAGUUGGUGAGGUAAAGGCUCACCAAGGCGACGAUCUGUAGCGGGUCUGAGAGGAUGAUCCGCCACACUGGAACUGAGACACGGUCCAGACUCCUACGGGAGGCAGCAGUGGGGAAUUUUGGACAAUGGGGGCAACCCUGAUCCAGCCAUGCCGCGUGAGUGAAGAAGGCCUUCGGGUUGUAAACUGCUUUUGUACGGAACGAAACGGUCUGCCCUAAUACGGUGGGCUAAUGACGGUACCGUAAGAAUAAGCACCGGCUAACUACGU